This 363-nucleotide ribosomal RNA is filed under the name uncultured Anoxybacillus sp. RNAcentral describes it as "bacterial SSU rRNA". It matches the Rfam family "Bacterial small subunit ribosomal RNA", at positions 1019 to 1382 of the family's 1533-position model. Lineage: Bacteria; Bacillati; Bacillota; Bacilli; Caryophanales; Anoxybacillaceae. The record is from RNAcentral.
GGGGGGACGAGGGUGGACAGGUGGUGCAUGGUUGUCGUCAGCUCGUGUCGUGAGAUGUUGGGUUAAGUCCCGCAACGAGCGCAACCCUCGACCUUAGUUGCCAGCAUUCAGUUGGGCACUCUAAGGUGACUGCCGGCUAAAAGUCGGAGGAAGGUGGGGAUGACGUCAAAUCAUCAUGCCCCUUAUGACCUGGGCUACACACGUGCUACAAUGGGCGGUACAAAGGGUCGCGAACCCGCGAGGGGGAGCCAAUCCCAAAAAGCCGCUCUCAGUUCGGAUUGCAGGCUGCAACUCGCCUGCAUGAAGCCGGAAUCGCUAGUAAUCGCGGAUCAGCAUGCCGCGGUGAAUACGUUCCCGGGCCUU